UCUCCGUUGGUGAACCAGCGGAGGGAUCAUUACAGAGUUGCAAAACUCCCAAACCAUUGUGAACGUUACCUAUCCCGUUGCUUCGGCGGGCUGCCCGGGCCCCGCGCCCGGCGCCCCCCGGCCCCCCGUGGGCGCCCGCCGGAGGUAAACCAAACCCUUGAAUUGCAUGGCCUCUCUGAGUCGUCUGUACUGAAUAAGUCAAAACUUUCAACAACGGAUCUCUUGGUUCUG
This 231-nucleotide unclassified non-coding RNA is filed under the name plant metagenome. RNAcentral describes it as "partial contains small subunit ribosomal RNA, internal transcribed spacer 1, and 5.8S ribosomal RNA". The record is from RNAcentral.